Molecule: long non-coding RNA, 445 nt
Organism: Hyaena hyaena (striped hyena)
Lineage: Eukaryota; Metazoa; Chordata; Mammalia; Carnivora; Hyaenidae
Exons: 3
Source: RefSeq, a predicted model, not a curated record
UGGAUCCUCCCAGAACCAUCCUCCUUUCAGCUUCCCACCUAAUACUUGAUCUUAAGGCAAAUAUGAUAAUGUUUCAACUAAAGGAUUAUUAAGUGUUAAAAUCCUGUUAGAUUCUUAUAAGCUGGAGGAAGCAGAUAACUUCUGAAGACGUUGUGCAGACUCAUAAUGACCUGGAGUGCCAGUUCUCAGUCCUCUUCGGGCUUCAGAUUGGAAUAAUAAUUUUUAUGUAAAUCAUAAAACUUGCAGAAUCUGAGAACCACUUUUUCCCUAAUGAGGGAAAAUACUCGAAUGCAUUUGAGAAUGCUGAUCAUUCCCAAAAUGCAGUGGGAAUGGAAGCCCCACUGACUGACAACUUUGGAUAUCCAUGCUCUUGGAAGGGAUAGCUGAGCAACUGAAUUUUAAAAUGCUUUUCAGAGUCUUCAACCCAAUUUUUAGUUGAAAAAUU